GUGUCAGCAGCCGCGGUAACACCGGCAGCUCUAGUGGUAGCAAUUUUUAUUGGGCCUAAAGCGUCCGUAGCCGGUUUAAUAAGUCUCUGGUGAAAUCCUGUAGCUUAACUGUGGGAAUUGCUGGAGAUACUAUUAGACUUGAGACCGGGAGAGGUUAGAGGUACUCCCAGGGUAGAGGUGAAAUUCUGUAAUCCUGGGAGGACCGCCUGUUGCGAAGGCGUCUAACUGGAACGGUUCUGACGGUGAGGGACGAAAGUUAGGGGCGCGAACCGGAUUAGAUACCCGGGUAGUCCUAACUGUAAACGAUGCGGACUUGGUGUUGGGGUGGCUUUGAGCUGCUUCAGUGCCGAAGGGAAGCUGUUAAGUCCGCCGCCUGGGAAGUACGGUCGCAAGACUGAA
This 399-nucleotide ribosomal RNA is filed under the name uncultured bacterium. RNAcentral describes it as "bacterial SSU rRNA". It matches the Rfam family "Archaeal small subunit ribosomal RNA", at positions 455 to 853 of the family's 1478-position model. The record is from RNAcentral.